Molecule: long non-coding RNA, 334 nt
Organism: Pipra filicauda (Wire-tailed manakin)
Lineage: Eukaryota; Metazoa; Chordata; Aves; Passeriformes; Pipridae
Exons: 3
Source: RefSeq, a predicted model, not a curated record
GGAGGAGACCAAAGGAACCCUCCCCCAAGGGCCAUCUGUGGAGCUUCAAGACUCUUCAGGGUCCCAGGAUAAACCCCGGGAAGCAGGACCUGCGGUGGGACAGCAGCUCUUGGAGAGCCAGAAUGGAAUUGGGAUCCCAAAGCCAAGUGAUGGUGUCGCUGGUGGGAUUUCCUCCCCCUCUGGAGAUCCUGGGAAUUUGGAGAUGGAUGAGGAGAAGGAGCUGGAUCCCCCUGUCCCACAAAAGGAAUGGGAUUCCCAAGUCCUGAAAAGCAAAAAAGGACGAGAGAAGAAACAAGAAGAAAAGAAAGAGCAGGAAAAGGGAUUGAAGAGGAAA